Molecule: long non-coding RNA, 1554 nt
Organism: Canis lupus familiaris (dog)
Lineage: Eukaryota; Metazoa; Chordata; Mammalia; Carnivora; Canidae
Exons: 4
Source: RefSeq, a predicted model, not a curated record
GCCUGUGGGGCCCUGCUUCCCACCUCUUAGGCAGACCUGCGGCCUGAGUCUCCCAACUGCUCCCUGAGGGGGGGCCUUGGGGACAGUCAUAGAGGCCGCCACCACCCGUGAGGCUCAGAAGCAGGGAGCGGCUGGGUCCAGAUGAACCAUUUGGCCGAGAACAUGGACCUCUCAGCAUAUGACCUUCCUGGACUGAGGACAGUGAGUCAGCUGUCCGCUGUGUCUCCUGUCCUGGAGAAGUGAGGACACAACCAGAAAGAACAACCCAGCUGUUGAGUGGAAAAGCAAAUUGCAGUAUGGCCUUGCAAUGGAAUGGAAUACUACUCAGAAAUAAGGAAGAAAGAACUAUUGAAGCGUGAAACAACAUGGAUGAUUCUCACAUACACUGUGCUGAGAAAAAGGAGCCAGAUACCAAAGACUAUGUAAUAAUGUAGAUGUGGUGGCUACUAUCUUGGAUCAUGGCCACCGGAGCCACUCCCUGGGAGGAGCAUGGACACCUGCAGUCUUGGUGAAGCAGAACCCCUAUACCAGCCUGAACUGCCUUCCCUGGGAUUUUCCCUGAGAGACAGUUCCAGCUUCAUCACUGAGUGAGGGUUGUUUCCAGGAAAGGACCUUAUCCAUCUGUGCAACGUCCUGGUGAUGACCCAGGAGUGGAGAGCUCUGUGCUAGAAAGAAGAGCUGAAUGAGAAUUCUCCAUCACUCUUGCUUGAGGUGUACCUGAAGAUUUUAAUUAUUCAUGCUACCAGAAUUGGUUCCUUCUUGUUAGAUGGAUACUGCCAAUAAUUACCUUUCCUUAUAUCUUUAGAGUUCUAUUUUCCAAGAAAUAAGAUACUUGAGUUGUUUGAACCCUGCCAAGGGAUAAUGUGGUAAGAAAAAAAAUGUAGGAAUUUUGGAAGGAGAUCUGUACCUCCUUCCUGUACACACACACACACACACACACACACACACAUAUAAAGCAUAUUAUAUAACUCUUUCAUGCUUCCAGCUUUCUAGAGCUUAAUUUUUUCACUUGUGAAAGGGCCAUAGCAACUAUACAAAUUGAUAAAAUGUGUAUAGAGCAUUUAUAUAUACUACCAUAUGAGUAAUAGGCAUUUAAUAAACAUUAAAUGAUGAAUGAAUGGUGAAUGUACCCACUAUGAAGCUGUUCCACACUAUCCUGGUGAAAACUAAAUUCUUGGCAUCAGAUAUUACCUAUUGGGAAUCCAUUUCAUUCCCAGCAUGUCUCUCUCUAGCUUCCCAUCAUAUGAUUUGGGCAGUGUUAUAUAUCUCUGUCAUGUGGGUUCCAUAUUUGUCCUUAUACUCCCAAGUUCUAUUCGCAUAGGUCCAUCCUGCUCUUGCUGUGGUUUCACAUUUGUAGGUUUAAUAACCUGGGAGGCCAUCUGAUGUACGUACAGGAAAACUCACAAAACCUCAGAGUGGAAUAAAAAACAUUUUCGAAGACCCCUGCUGGCUCCGUCAACCUUAAUGAGCUAUUAGAUCAUUAGAGACUCUUUGCCAUCAAUUAGUCAUUAGAUCGGCAACCAUUCAUUGAUGACAGGGCUCUCCUACUUAAAG